Molecule: transfer RNA, 54 nt
Filed under: Cheliceroides longipalpis
Lineage: Eukaryota; Metazoa; Arthropoda; Arachnida; Araneae; Salticidae
Description: tRNA-Ser
Source: RNAcentral
GACUUUAUUAAUAAUUAUUUUGAAAGUAGUUAAUAAGAUUAAACUUUAAAGUCA